GCCGCGACCCGUUGCUGGGGACGUCGAAGGCCCGGGUGGACUGGUACCCCGACGCCGUGUUGCUUUAGUAGCAUGACGAAGGGGGAAACCUCCGGUGUCCUGGCUGCCCUGCGACGGUCGUGCAGAUGAGGGGCGAAUAAACGUCACUCUCGCGGCGUGCAAAAGGUCGGUGACCCACCCGACCCGUCUUGAAACACGGACCAAGGAGUCUAACAUGUGUGCGAGUCAUUGGGUGCACUAAACCCAGAGGCGUAAUGAAAGUGAAAGGUGGGCGUCCCGGGGUUCCCUCACUGAGGGGGUUCCGGUCGGCGCCUACCGGGGCCGAUCCUCGACAUGCCGUCGCUUCGCCGGUGUUUCUUCCCACACCAAAGCGGGGCCGCCAAGACGGGGCUGCUGGCGCGGGGUGAGAACCUUUCCCUCGUGACCUAGCCUCAGGUCCCGUGGGUACCCGGCGAGCGCGACAGUCCGGCUGCUGCUGUUGUCGGACCUGUUGAAGGCCACAGCAAUAGUAGCCGCCUGUACGCAGGGGGGCGCAGGCCCGGGACUUGCCAUUUGACGCCGUCGCGUAAAUCUGUUGUUGGCCUCGCCGGCUCUGCUUGGGCUCUCGGUUGGCGGGCCGCGCGCCAGGCGGCGGGCUUUAGGAGGAGGGCAUACACUGUCCAAGUCCGGGUCCGUCCGUCACGCGCGGUAUUUGCCUUCCG
RNAcentral lists this ribosomal RNA (701 nucleotides) under Nanhaipotamon sp. Ns2. RNAcentral's name for it is "partial 28S ribosomal RNA". The record is from RNAcentral. Lineage: Eukaryota; Metazoa; Arthropoda; Malacostraca; Decapoda; Potamidae.